UUCAUUUGCUACUAAUAAACCUCUAGAAGCUCUUCUCAUUGUCUUUGAUGAGCCUGGCCAGACUAGGCUUUAGCUCAGUCCGAACUGCAUCUUGGAUACGUGAACUAUGUCUCUGUGCUCCUCUCAAGUUAUCUGUCCUUACUUCUACCCUCUGUAUGCCUCCUUUUAGCAUUUGACUUAGGCCAGGAACUACUCAUUCAUCCAUGUGGGUCUGCUGGCACUUUUGUCUGACUUCCUCUUUGUUGGGAUGAAAUUUUCUUGAAUUUGGAGAAGGUGAUCCUGAAUAUUAACCAGACUUCUUGGGCCCUUCUUCCCUCCAGGGCCUAAACCCACAGAAGAGCACGUUUUUGUCGCUGGCAGCUCUGGUGAGAGCUUGGCAUAAAAGGGCUGUAAGUCAUACACUAUGAAGAGAGGCUUGCUUUGUCUAAUUUGGAGAAAAGGAGGCCAAGAGGUGACCUCAUUGGUCUUUACAACUUCCAGAGGAAGGGAAAUGGAGAGAGGGUCACUGAUCUCUUCUCCCUGGAAACCACAUAUAGAAGACGAGUGAAAGGCACAAAGCUGUGCCAGGGAGGUUCAGACUGGACAUUAGUAAAAAUUUGUUUGCCAUGAGGGUGGUCAAACACUGGAAGAAGCUUCCUAGCAAGGUGGUUGAUGCCCACCUUGUGUGAAGACUGUCAGCAUUCAAGAGGUUUCUGUCUCUUAAGAGCUCUGACAGGCAGAACCAGGGAUGAAGAGCAGGAGGAAGCCAUGGGAAACCUCAGAAGAAGCUUCAGAGUCCAUAGCAGCCUGCUGAAUCCAGCAAAGGAGCAGUUUAUCUUCUCCAAGGUUCUCAGGACUAAGUGGACUGGAAGAGCUCUCCUUUCCGAGGUUAUAGUUCAUUUUGUUUCCCUUAACAU
RNAcentral lists this long non-coding RNA (896 nucleotides) under Cairina moschata (Muscovy duck). RNAcentral's name for it is "domestica (muscovy Duck (domestic type)) lncRNA (ENSCMMG00000003115.1)". The record is from RNAcentral. Lineage: Eukaryota; Metazoa; Chordata; Aves; Anseriformes; Anatidae.